Molecule: long non-coding RNA, 678 nt
Organism: Mus musculus (house mouse)
Lineage: Eukaryota; Metazoa; Chordata; Mammalia; Rodentia; Muridae
Product: predicted gene, 34468
Exons: 3
Source: RefSeq, a predicted model, not a curated record
AAUGGAUCUGUGUCCCAUUGUAAGAUGUUUCAUAACUUAUUUAAGCAAUUUCCCAUCUCCAAACAUUCAUCUCAAUCUUUUCUUCCACGCAGCACCGUAAUGAGUGUCUUUGUUCCCGCGUCUCUGUAUACAUUACAGGCUUUUUAAUGCCUGCUUGGUAUGCGACAAGCAUGAUGUGUGCAAUCUCCUACAAACUACAUCCUCUGUUUCCCACGCUUAUCUUGCCUCCUGAGUUGCCACCGUUCUAAAUAGAUUUCUUGAGCCAUGUAUCUUUGUGAGCAUCUCUUUGAGGAUGGGUUUCUACAAGGGAAGUACUGGGGAAACUUACUCUAACUUUAGCUGGUUUGAGCCCAUGUCCUGAAACCUGAGUCAAAGCCACGCUGCUCGAUGCUGUACGUUGUAUGCACUUUAUCUAAAAGGGAGAUGAUCGCGAAAAGGAGCCCAUUGUUCCUUCACAAAGGAUGUGAGCGUAAGCUCUGGUAUUGCAGCUAAGUUGGAAAGGGGCCAAGGGGUUCAUAUAAUCCCGUCAGCAAAAGCAGAAGAUGCAGCCUCUCACAGAACCCGAAACACUCGUUGCUGUCUUGUCUGACCCAAAGGCAACCUCCAUCUCAUCCCCACCCCGAAGACACGAUUGCCCCUCCAGAGUAAUAAAUGUCUGUUGUGCUGAGAAUCUGGUGU